This 550-nucleotide ribosomal RNA is filed under the name uncultured bacterium. Its description in RNAcentral is "partial 16S ribosomal RNA". It matches the Rfam family "Bacterial small subunit ribosomal RNA", at positions 355 to 896 of the family's 1533-position model. The record is from RNAcentral.
UGGGGAAUUUUGGACAAUGGGCGCAAGCCUGAUCCAGCCAUGCCGCGUGCGGGAAGAAGGCCUUCGGGUUGCAAACCGCUUUUGUCAGGGAAGAAAUCUUCUGAGUUAAUACCUCGGGAGGAUGACGGUACCUGAAGAAUAAGCACCGGCUAACUACGUGCCAGCAGCCGCGGUAAUACGUAGGGUGCAAGCGUUAAUCGGAAUUACUGGGCGUAAAGCGUGCGCAGGCGGUUUUGUAAGACAGAGGUGAAAUCCCCGGGCUCAACCUGGGAACUGCCUUUGUGACUGCAAGGCUUGAGUGCGGCAGAGGGGGGAUGGAAUUCCGCGUGUAGCAGUGAAAUGCGUAGAUAUGCGGAGGAACACCGAUGGCGAAGGCAAUCCCCUGGGCCUGCACUGACGCUCAUGCACGAAAGCGUGUGGAGCAAACAGGAUUAGAUACCCUGGUAGUCCACGCCCUAAACGGUGUCAACUGGUUGUUGGGGAAGGUUCCUUCUCAGUAACGUAGCUAACGCGUGAAGUUGACCGCCUGGGGAGUACGGCCGCAAGGUUG